Molecule: ribosomal RNA, 276 nt
Filed under: uncultured Planctomycetota bacterium
Lineage: Bacteria; Pseudomonadati; Planctomycetota
Description: uncultured planctomycete partial 16S ribosomal RNA
Rfam family: Bacterial small subunit ribosomal RNA
Source: RNAcentral
AAGCGGUGGAGCAUGUGGCUUAAUUCGAGGCUACGCGAAGAACCUUAUCCCAGACUUGACAUGUGCGAUAGCGGUGGGCGGUAACUCCCGGAAACGGGGUGUGAUUCCUCGCAAGAGGAGGACCCACUACAGGUGCUGCAUGGCUGUCGUCAGCUCGUGUCGUGAGAUGUCGGGUUAAGUCCCGUAACGAGCGAAACCCCUGCCCCUAGUUGCCAGCGGGUCAUGCCGGGCACUCUAGGGGGACCGCCGGCGUCAAGCCGGAGGAAGGCGGGGACG